Molecule: transfer RNA, 69 nt
Filed under: Galbula pastazae (coppery-chested jacamar)
Lineage: Eukaryota; Metazoa; Chordata; Aves; Piciformes; Galbulidae
Description: tRNA-Gln
Source: RNAcentral
UUAGAAGGGUGGGAAUUGAACCCACACAAAGAGAUCAAAACUCUCCAUACUUCCCUUAUAUUAUCUUCU